Molecule: long non-coding RNA, 192 nt
Organism: Daphnia pulicaria
Lineage: Eukaryota; Metazoa; Arthropoda; Branchiopoda; Diplostraca; Daphniidae
Exons: 2
Source: RefSeq, a predicted model, not a curated record
GCUUGUCGAGACAAAUAAUCAAGUUGCCCAUCCCGUAAAGAGGCCCCCAAUCCCAUCCAGCACCUACGUGACUUGGAGCGUCCAAUUCCGGAAUAAUUUUGACUCCUGUGUCUUGCGACACGCAAUCAGCGGUAUGUGUCGUAAAGGGGAGUCCCGUACAACAACGCCACAAUUGUGAAAACACACUAGGUA